GAUGAACGCUGGCGGCGUGCCUAAUACAUGCAAGUAGAACGCUGAAGGAGGAGCUUGCUCUUCUGGAUGAGUUGCGAACGGGUGAGUAACGCGUAGGUAACCUGCCUGGUAGCGGGGGAUAACUAUUGGAAACGAUAGCUAAUACCGCAUGACAACAGUUAUUGCAUGAUAACUGUUUAAAAGGGGCAACUGCUCCACUACCAGAUGGACCUGCGUUGGAUUAGCUAGUUGGUGGGGUAACGGCUCACCAAGGCGACGAUACAUAGCCGACCUGAGAGGGGGAUCGGCCCCACUGGGACUGAGACACGGCCCAGACCUCUACGGGAGGCAGCAGUAGGGAAUCUUCGGGCAUGGACGGAAGUCCGACCGAGGAACGCCGCGUGAGUGAAGAAGGUUUUCGGAUCGUAAAGCUCUGUUGUAAGAGAAGAACGAGUGUGGGAGUGGAAAAUUCACGCUGUGACGGUAUCUUAUCAGAAAGGGACGGCUAACUACGUG
RNAcentral lists this ribosomal RNA (495 nucleotides) under uncultured bacterium. RNAcentral's name for it is "partial 16S ribosomal RNA". It matches the Rfam family "Bacterial small subunit ribosomal RNA", at positions 28 to 507 of the family's 1533-position model. The record is from RNAcentral.